RNAcentral lists this long non-coding RNA (256 nucleotides) under Musa acuminata (dwarf banana). RNAcentral describes it as "long non-coding RNA (MACU_LNC010878)". Lineage: Eukaryota; Viridiplantae; Streptophyta; Magnoliopsida; Zingiberales; Musaceae. The record is from RNAcentral.
UAUCAUAAGUGUUUCAUGUAUUCAUAUUAUCACAUGAAGCAUAUUAUCAUUUUUAAGAUUCAUAACAUGAAUAACGUUAUUACUAUUUCAUCAAAAUCAAUUUCGAGAUUCACACAAUAUCAUGAAAUCAUUAAUCUCGAUAAGAUGGGAAAAGCAUUUUCUUUUUAAGUGAUUCUUUUAACACAUCAUAAAAAACUCAUUCAUAAUUCAAGUGAUUUACAAGAUAUCAUAAAUGAAUUUAUCACUUGUAUUUCAU